This 149-nucleotide ribosomal RNA is filed under the name Leucobacter sp. NC132. RNAcentral describes it as "partial 16S ribosomal RNA". It matches the Rfam family "Bacterial small subunit ribosomal RNA", at positions 337 to 479 of the family's 1533-position model. The record is from RNAcentral. Lineage: Bacteria; Bacillati; Actinomycetota; Actinomycetes; Micrococcales; Microbacteriaceae.
UCCUACGGGAGGCAGCAGUGGGGAAUCUUGCACAAUGGGCGCAAGCCUGAUGCAGCCAUGCCGCGUGAGGGAAGAAGGCCUUCGGGUUGUAAACCUCUUUUGUCAGGGAAGAACAGGUUCGGGCUAAUCCCUCGACUCAUGACGGUACC